UAUUAUUUUUGAUGUUAAUUAUUUAACCUGAGUAGUAUUAGAUAUGGUCUUGAAACUUAAAGAAUUUGGCAGUAUUUUAUUCUGUUUAGAGGAACCUGUUCUUUUAUCGAUAAUCCUCGUUGGACCUUACUUAGUUUAUUGAUUUGUAUACCGCCGUUGUAUAGAAGAUCUUUAUAGUGUUUUUAAUUUUCUGGAUUUUGUUUGAAAUUAUUUCAGGUCAAGGUGCAAUUUAUGAUUAAGUAGAAAUGGGUUACGUUUAUAUGUAUUUUUGGAUUAUUAAAUGGAAUUUUAAUAUGAAAUUGGAUUUGAAUGUAAUUAUUAUUUUAGAUUGUAGUAAUGAUUUAGUUUCUAGAGUGUGUACACAUCGCCCGUCACUCUCGUUAUUUAUUCGAG
Molecule: ribosomal RNA, 393 nt
Filed under: Cryptocercus sp. 2 ZW-2019
Lineage: Eukaryota; Metazoa; Arthropoda; Insecta; Blattodea; Cryptocercidae
Description: partial 12S small subunit ribosomal RNA
Source: RNAcentral